This is a non-coding RNA of Phthorimaea operculella (potato tuberworm), 72 nucleotides long. The record is from the annotation of a GenBank genome assembly. Lineage: Eukaryota; Metazoa; Arthropoda; Insecta; Lepidoptera; Gelechiidae.
CCAUCGAUAGCUCAGUGGGAGAGCGGUGAGGCGGUACCUCACGCGUUCCGGAUUCGAUCCUCGGACGAUGCU